Cherax quadricarinatus is the source of this 864-nucleotide non-coding RNA. Lineage: Eukaryota; Metazoa; Arthropoda; Malacostraca; Decapoda; Parastacidae. The record is from RefSeq and is a predicted model, not a curated record.
AAUGUAUGAUCUGAAAGGAUGAUAAUAAAGGUGUGUAAGUUGAGUGAUAGCGUGGGGUGUGGCAACAACAGCUACACAGCUGAGCUGGGUCUAGGGUAGGGGUGGCCGAGGCAGGCAGCAGCAGCAGCAGCAGCAGCAGUUGUAUUCCACUAGUGUCUUGGUAGUGUGCGUCUGCGUGUGAGUGAGUGUGUUGGGAAGCCUAACACAUUAUGUCCCUCUCCUCAUCAAUGGGGAGAGACAGCAGACGGAGUGAGAGACGUGUAACACACAGAGGAACAGCGAGAUACAGUGGUGGCAAGGAAGGCUGGCAGAGGGACGCUACUCACAGUAAACAAAGGAAGGUGAAGAGCACUGACUGGUAAUGUUGUAGAAGGAAUUGAAUGAUGAAGGAAAACGAUACAGAAUAAUGGAAAGUAGCGAACUGCGUAAACAAAUAGUGUAAAACUAUGGAAAAAAACACGGUGAUGAGAGAAGACGGUGUUUUACUAUGAAAGAAAAUAGCACAGAACAAUCAAAUAAACCAGCGUGAAAGGAUGAAAGAAAAUGAAGAACCAUGAAAGAAAAGAAUGUAGAUCCAAGAGAGAGAGAGAGAGAGAGAGAGAGAGAGAGAGAGCACAGGUUUAGAACAAUGAAAGCCAAUGAAGGUUGAGGCAGCUUGGACGAGGUGAAAGAAGCAGUACCUUGGACGACCCUGUGAUAACCUGACACAGUUAUCAUCACGCAUUAAGCCGAGAUGAAGACCAAGAAGUUAAUAACCUUGGAGAAGUACAGUGUAGUGGCAGUGAGAGCCAAGGUCUCGGUGGAGGUGGAGCAGCGAAAACGUCUUGGCACUUGGGCCAAACGGGUCCUUGCCUUUGAGGGAGC